RNAcentral lists this ribosomal RNA (264 nucleotides) under uncultured archaeon. Its description in RNAcentral is "partial 16S ribosomal RNA". It matches the Rfam family "Archaeal small subunit ribosomal RNA", at positions 717 to 982 of the family's 1478-position model. The record is from RNAcentral.
ACACGACUACAUUAGAUACCCCCGUAGUCCUAGGCGUAAAUGAUGCGAGUUAAGUNUGGGGGCAUCUACGAGAUGGCCCUGUGCUGUAGGGUAGCCGUUAAACUCGCUGCCUGGGAGUACGGUCGCAAGGCUGAAACUUAAAGGAAUUGGCGGGGGAGCACCACAAGAGGUGGAGGCUGCGGUUCAAUUGGACUCAACGCCGGAAAACUCAUCGGGAGCGACAGCAGUAUGAUUGCCAGGUUGAUGACCUUGCUCGACAAGCUG